UUGGAGGGCAAGUCUGGUGCCAGCAGCCGCGGUAAUUCCAGCUCCAAUAGCGUAUAUUAAAGUUGUUGCAGUUAAAAAGCUCGUAGUUGAAUUUCGGGGUUAGUAGGUUGGUCAUGCCUCCGGUAUGUACUGGUCUCACUGAUUCCUCCUUCCUGAUGAACCGUAAUGCCAUUAAUUUGGUGUUGCGGGGAAUUUGGACUGUUACUUUGAAAAAAUUAGAGUGUUUAAAGCAAGCUAACGCUUGAAUACAUUAGCAUGGAAUAAUGAAAUAGGACGUUCGAUCCUAUUUUGUUGGUUUCUAGGAUUGACGUAAUGAUUAAUAGGGAUAGUUGGGGGCAUUAGUAUUCAAUUGUCAGAGGUGAAAUACUUGGAUUUAUUGAAGACUAACUACUGCGAAAGCAUUUGCCAAGGAUGUUUUCAUUAAUCAAGAACGAAAGUUAGGGGAUCGAAGACGAUCAGAUACCGUCGUAGUCUUAACCAUAAACUAUGCCGACUAGGGAUCGGAUGAUGUUAAUUUUUUAAUGACUCAUUCGGCGCCUUACGGGAAAC
This 549-nucleotide ribosomal RNA is filed under the name uncultured Glomeromycotina. Its description in RNAcentral is "SSU rRNA". It matches the Rfam family "Eukaryotic small subunit ribosomal RNA", at positions 548 to 1098 of the family's 1831-position model. Lineage: Eukaryota; Fungi; Glomeromycota. The record is from RNAcentral.